CCGCCAAUCCAUAAAAGGAAAGAAAGGAAGGGAGGCGCUAGCCCCUUCCCCCUUGCAGCCGCCUACCAGAUCUGCUCUCCCCCUCUUAUAGGUACCCAAACACUAGGUCCAAGACCUAAAAUCUCUUGAGAAGAGGUUGGUAUAAGUCCCUCUCAGAUCUGGAGUUGAUCUGAGGUCGUUUGAGGUGCAGGUGAGAUCUCCAUC
RNAcentral lists this long non-coding RNA (204 nucleotides) under Elaeis guineensis (African oil palm). Its description in RNAcentral is "long non-coding RNA (EGUI_LNC064164)". Lineage: Eukaryota; Viridiplantae; Streptophyta; Magnoliopsida; Arecales; Arecaceae. The record is from RNAcentral.